This 314-nucleotide ribosomal RNA is filed under the name Escherichia coli. Its description in RNAcentral is "bacterial SSU rRNA". It matches the Rfam family "Bacterial small subunit ribosomal RNA", at positions 444 to 754 of the family's 1533-position model. Lineage: Bacteria; Pseudomonadati; Pseudomonadota; Gammaproteobacteria; Enterobacterales; Enterobacteriaceae. The record is from RNAcentral.
AAGGGAGUAAAGUUAAUACCUUUGCUCAUUGACGUUACCCGCAGAAGAAGCACCGGCUAACUCCGUGCCAGCAGCCGCGGUAAUACGGAGGGUGCAAGCGUUAAUCGGAAUUACUGGGCGUAAAGCGCACGCAGGCGGUUUGUUAAGUCAGAUGUGAAAUCCCCGGGCUCAACCUGGGAACUGCAUCUGAUACUGGCAAGCUUGAGUCUCGUAGAGGGGGGUAGAAUUCCAGGUGUAGCGGUGAAAUGCGUAGAGAUCUGGAGGAAUACCGGUGGCCAAGGCGGCCCCCUGGACAAAGACUGACGCUCACGUGC